Molecule: ribosomal RNA, 497 nt
Filed under: uncultured bacterium
Lineage: Bacteria
Description: partial 16S ribosomal RNA
Rfam family: Bacterial small subunit ribosomal RNA
Source: RNAcentral
GAUGAACGCUGGCGGCGUGCCUAAUACAUGCAAGUCGAGCGAACGGACGAGAAGCUUGCUUCUCUGAUGUUAGCGGCGGACGGGUGAGUAACACGUGGAUAACCUACCUAUAAGACUGGGAUAACUUCGGGAAACCGGAGCUAAUACCGGAUAAUAUUUUGAACCGCAUGGUUCAAAAGUGAAAGACGGUCUUGCUGUCACUUAUAGAUGGAUCCGCGCUGCAUUAGCUAGUUGGUAAGGUAACGGCUUACCAAGGCAACGAUGCAUAGCCGACCUGAGAGGGUGAUCGACCACACUGGAACUGAGACACGGUCCAGACUCCUACGGGAGGCAGCAGUAGGGAAUCUUCCGCAAUGGGCGAAAGCCUGACGGAGCAACGCCGCGUGAGUGAUCAAGGUCUUCGGAUCGUAAAACUCUGUUAUUAGGGAAGAACAUAUGUGUAAGUAACUGUGCACAUCUUGACGGUACCUAAUCAGAAAGCCACGGCUAACUACGUG